UAAGGAAAUAAGACUUUGCAGCAUGCACCCCUCCCCAUCUGAUUUCUUUCCUUUUCUCUGCAACUUCCUGCUGGUUUCCAGGAUUCUCUCGCUUGAUUUUUUAGAGCUGCAGACCACGUUUUUUCUGCCUCGGUCCAAAGGAAACAGUUGGUGCCUCACAGUGCCAGCUAAGGAAGGAAAGAAAGGAGUUAUACCACCCUUUGAUCACUGGAAAAUAAUUGUUGGAAUCAUAGAAUAGGAAUUAUAAUAUUUUAGUUUCCUCAUUUGCGUUAUUCAAUUAGAAAUCAGCCGAGAUUCACAUCCUAGAUUAGUGUAUUUUGUUUCCUAAAUAGAGCUGUUGUUUAGGCUAUAUAAACCUCCUCUGCUGGGAGAAGAAGAAAGGAGGAAGACAAACAGAGAGAGGGAGAGCGUAAAGAAGCAGAGGAUAAGAAAAGAAAAACAGAGGGGGGAAGGGAAGAGGAAGAAAAAAAAACAGAGAGAAGCAUUGCCAGCCAACGCAUGAGCAUCAGCUAGCCCCGUCUCCGGUUGCACCACUCCCUGAACAGACGGACACGAAGGAGAACAGGGGAGUAAACGCAGAGAGGACAUAACACCGGAACACAGAAAACGCGAAAAAUACAUAGAAAGCAAAAAAAAAACAGAGAGAGGGAAGAAUAGAGGAAGAACUGAAGAGGAGAGUAGCAUCGACCUGUCAGCUUCACCAUCGUCUUCGUCCCCCAGCUUCGCCUCCAGCUGCACUAGGGAACAGGGAAGAAGAGAAAGAGAGAGACAGACGCAGAGAGAGGAGGUAAGAGACGGACACGAGGAGAAGACAGAACGGAAGGGAAGCCAGACGCAGGGAGUAACAUCAUAGCUUCUUCCCAGAAUCUCAGCAACAAGCUCAGGAAGGACUUCACCCAGCAACGGUUGUGAACCAGCGAGUGGGUGGCACCCACGCCAUUAAAGAGGUGCGUGUGAUGCUUCUCGGUGGCCAAAUCUAGCCAUCCGCUGUCUCAUUAGAUGCAAAUUCAAGCUCUCUUCCACAUGGUGUGGCACAUGUAGACAGAUAAUGGUUAGAUUGCCUUUGGUGAUCGAUUGUUUGCGUUUUUUCUUUCUUUUCUCUCUCCUGACAACUAUAAUGCACAAUUGUCAUCUUUGUUUAUUAUUUGUCAAAUCAGACAUGCUUACCAUA
Molecule: long non-coding RNA, 1171 nt
Organism: Populus trichocarpa (black cottonwood)
Lineage: Eukaryota; Viridiplantae; Streptophyta; Magnoliopsida; Malpighiales; Salicaceae
Exons: 2
Source: RefSeq, a predicted model, not a curated record